AAGUGGGUCCCCAAACCUACAGUCGAGUGGUGGGACAGUAACAAUCAAACCAUUCCUUCAGAGGAGCCGCAGGUCUCUAAAAAAGGAGAGCGCUUCUUCAUCACUGUCAGCACUACUGUGAAAAAGGAUGACAACUAUUGCUGCGUUGCCACACAAGAGGACAUCUGGCAUCAGUCACAGAAGAAAAUCUAUAUACAUUUGAAUAAGAAGAGGGACUUGGCACCCCAAGGGCUUCCUGUAUGGGCUGCCAUACUCAUCGGUGUUCUUGGUUUUAUUGUUGGUGUUGCGGUUGGUGUUGCUGUUGUGCUUAAGGUUAAAGGAUACUGUUUGAAGAAAGGUUCACGAAGAAAAGAAAAUGGCUGCUCCACAUCGCUGCAGUUAAAUCUCAACUCCGAAUGAUCUUAAAAAGCCUGGAAUUGGACACCAGUGUAAUUAAUGAAAGCACUAAAAGAGAACAUGAAAGGCAACCUAAGAAUCCACAGUAGUCAAAACAUCAGAUCCACGACAGGUUAGGAACCACUGACCUACAACACUCCAUGUUCACAUCGUUAUUAACAUUACACAUAGUAAUUGUUUAUCACAGAUAGAAUGGGUUUUUUUUUUUCACUUUUGAUAGAAUUUGUGUUAUCAACAAAAUUGUAAAUACAGUAAAUGAGUGAAAUAUAAAAACAACAGAAUCUUACAGAAGUUUGCGUUGUUCAUCUUACAGAACCUUUUAGUGUGACAUUAGAGAUGGGCAGAUGAAGCCUUAAGAUGUUUUUUUGAGGCUUCUUGCUGAAAGAUAAAAAUCUUCCAGAGUCUUCCGAGUCUCUGUGGGUGAACAUCUCAGUAAUGUCUUCAUGUGUUGGCGUGUACCCUGCCUCUCACCCUGUGACAGCUCCACAGGUCACACAGCUGGAUCCUCUCCUCUCCUGUGGAAACCAGAACUCACCUGAAACAAUCCUGCCCUCUUCAGCAUAUCUUAAGCACUUUUAAUGAUAUUUGUUGUCGCUGCUAUCCAGAUGAAACUGUAUAUGUUUUUAUUAUGUCUCAUGUCUCCAACAUGUUUCUAAUUUACAUAAGUCCCUGUUUGUGCCCCUGACAAAUUUAUGUCUAAAGUAAUGGAAACUCUUGGUCCUAUUGCUGCAUUUGCUAAAUAUGCUACAGUUGCUUAAUCAGGACUCUCAAAGUAACCUUUUACAUUUCAAAGUUUAUUUCAAAUACAAUAAUUCAAAGACAAACUGGUUCACUCUUGUGUUUAUUAUUUAUGUCUGGAUUGCCAUAAUUCUUUUUUUACUUCUCUAAACUAAUAAUGCUUCUGCGAGGCUUCUGACUAACUACACUCACGUUGCAGAGUUGCUGACUCAGCUGCACUAGCUUCCCAUUAAAUUCAGAGUCAAAUUGAAAAUUCUGAUU
Molecule: non-coding RNA, 1395 nt
Organism: Maylandia zebra (zebra mbuna)
Lineage: Eukaryota; Metazoa; Chordata; Actinopteri; Cichliformes; Cichlidae
Source: RefSeq, a predicted model, not a curated record